UGGGGGAUAUUGCACAAUGGGCGAAAGCCUGAUGCAGCGACGCCGCGUGGGGGAUGAAGGCUUUCGGGUUGUAAACCUCUUUCGCUAUCGAACAAGGCCUGCUUAGGGUGGGUUGAGGGUAGGUGGAGAAGAAGCGCCGGCUAACUACGUGCCAGCAGCCGCGGUAAUACGUAGGGCGCGAGCGUUGUCCGGAAUUAUUGGGCGUAAAGGGCUUGUAGGCGGCUUGUUGCGCCUGCUGUGAAAACGCGGGGCUUAACUUCGCGCGUGCAGUGGGUACGGGCAGGCUUGAGUGUGGUAGGGGUGACUGGAAUUCCAGGUGUAGCGGUGGAAUGCGCAGAUAUCUGGAGGAACACCGAUGGCGAAGGCAGGUCACUGGGCCAUUACUGACGCUGAGGAGCGAAAGCAUGGGUAGCGAACAGG
RNAcentral lists this ribosomal RNA (420 nucleotides) under bacterium. RNAcentral describes it as "partial 16S ribosomal RNA". It matches the Rfam family "Bacterial small subunit ribosomal RNA", at positions 355 to 776 of the family's 1533-position model. The record is from RNAcentral.